RNAcentral lists this non-coding RNA (45 nucleotides) under Schistosoma margrebowiei. The record is from RNAcentral. Lineage: Eukaryota; Metazoa; Platyhelminthes; Trematoda; Strigeidida; Schistosomatidae.
AUCCAAUUGACGAGUCCCAAAUAGGACGGAACGUGCAUCCUGGAU